Molecule: ribosomal RNA, 439 nt
Filed under: uncultured bacterium
Lineage: Bacteria
Description: partial 16S ribosomal RNA
Rfam family: Bacterial small subunit ribosomal RNA
Source: RNAcentral
CUACGGGCGGCUGCAGCGAGGAAUAUUGCACAAUGGGGGGAACCCUAAUGCAGCAACGCCGCGUGGAGGAUGACGCAUUUCGGUGUGUAAACUCCUUUUAUAUGUCAAGAAAAUGACGGUAGCAUAUGAAUAAGCACCGGCUAACUCCGUGCCAGCAGCCGCGGUAAUACGGAGGGUGCAAGCGUUACUCGGAAUCACUGGGCGUAAAGGACGCGUAGGCGGGUUGGAAAGUCAGGUGUGAAAUCCUACAGCUUAACUGUAGAACUGCACUUGAAACUUCUAAUCUAGAGUAUGGGAGGGGGAGAUGGAAUUAGUGGUGUAGGGGUAAAAUCCGUAGAUAUCACUAGGAAUACCUAAAGCGAAGGCGAUCUCCUGGAACAUUACUGACGCUAAGGCGUGAAAGCGUGGGGAGCAAACAGGAUUAGAUACCCCUGUAGUC